AGUGAACGCUGGCGGUAGGCCUAACACAUGCAAGUCGAACGGCAGCACAGGAGAGCUUGCUCUCUGGGUGGCGAGUGGCGGACGGGUGAGGAAUACAUCGGAAUCUACUUUUUCGUGGGGGAUAACGUAGGGAAACUUACGCUAAUACCGCAUACGACCUACGGGUGAAAGCAGGGGACCUUCGGGCCUUGCGCGAUUGAAUGAGCCGAUGUCGGAUUAGCUAGUUGGCGGGGUAAAGGCCCACCAAGGCGACGAUCCGGAGCUGAUCUGAGAGGAUGGUCAGCCACACUGGACCUGAGAAACGGUCCAGACUCCUACGGGCGGCAGCAGUGGGGAAUAUUGGACAAGGGGCGCAAGCCUGAUCCAGCCAUACCGCGUGGGUGAAGAAGGCCUUCGGGUUGUAAAGCCCUUUUGUUGGGAAAGAAAUCCAGCUGGCUAAUACCCGGUUGGGAUGACGGUACCCAAAGAAUAAGCACCGGCUAACUUCGUGCCAGCCGCCGCAGUAA
RNAcentral lists this ribosomal RNA (506 nucleotides) under uncultured bacterium. RNAcentral describes it as "partial 16S ribosomal RNA". It matches the Rfam family "Bacterial small subunit ribosomal RNA", at positions 29 to 523 of the family's 1533-position model. The record is from RNAcentral.